Molecule: ribosomal RNA, 253 nt
Filed under: uncultured bacterium
Lineage: Bacteria
Description: partial 16S ribosomal RNA
Rfam family: Bacterial small subunit ribosomal RNA
Source: RNAcentral
UACGUAGGGUGCAAGCGUUAAUCGGAAUUACUGUGCGUAAAGCGUGCGCAGGCGGUUUUGUAAGUUUGUCGUGAAAGCCCCGGGCUCAACCUAAGAAUGGCGAUGAAGACUGCAAGGCUUGAAUCUGGCAGAGGGGGGUAGAAUUCCACGUGUAGCAGUGAAAUGCGUAGAGAUGUGGAGGAACACCGAUGGCGAAGGCAGCCCCCUGGGUCAAGAUUGACGCUCAUGCACGAAAGUGUGGGGAGCAAACAGG